Molecule: long non-coding RNA, 853 nt
Filed under: Equus asinus (donkey)
Lineage: Eukaryota; Metazoa; Chordata; Mammalia; Perissodactyla; Equidae
Description: lncRNA (ENSEASG00005025242.1)
Source: RNAcentral
GUAAUUUGUAAAUAGAUUUAAGGUAAGUCCAGUGUAAUGACUACAUUCUUUUAAAGUUAAUAGGCUAUGGCUCCAUAAUGUUAAAUCAUGAGUUUAAGCCUAUUCUCUUUAGAAAUAAAAAGUCAUUUCUAUACGUUCCUCUCAAUUCUCUAUUACACAGGAAGUUACUUCAGGGUGGGGAUUAUAUCUUGGGUCUUUCUAGCACUUCUUAUCCCACCUCAUGUAACCUCCAGCCCCUGUCCUGGCGACAGGCCACGUACCAGAACACACUUAUUUAACUGAAUGACUGGAAAACUUAUUAGCCUUUCUUAUGAUGGAGUCACUUCACAGGGCCCCUUGGGAAAGCUGUGGAAGGCUGUACCAGUUCCAGAAGGCCUGUCGCAUUUUUAAUGGAAUUUCUUUUUCUGUAUUUAUCGCUCUUUCUUUCUAAUUCUGCUCCUUUGGUCCUCACAUCUUGUGGCUUGCAUAGUAACAAGAGGAAAUGCCUGUUACAUGUGCUUCCUGUUGAAACCUAAGUGACAUCACUAGCCUGUAAGGUGCCACGCCUCUAGAUUGUCUCCUAUGAAUGACCAGAAACUGAUAAAGAGUUAUGAACUCUUCUGCCUCUGGGCCUUUGAGCACGCCGUUCCCUCUGCUAGAAAUUCAUCUUGACCCUUCAUUGCGCUGACUCCCAUUCUUCUUCAGUUACUAGUGAGUACUGAUGUCACUUUGACCCUCACCCCAAGCCUAGAUGGGGUCUCGCUGCUAUAGGGGCCUGUAAGCCCUGAUGCUGUUCCUGUUAGAACAUUUAUUCCACUUCAUUUAAUUACUUGUUCUCUUUAGCUUCUCCACUAUGUUCUGUGUGGGCAAAAAA